CCAACACCGCCGGCUGAUUGGCUGAGAUUUGCCGCAGUUCCGCCCCUUCGCCGGGGCCCGUCCAGCCGCGCGCGCUGCCUCAGCGCCCGCUUCCGCGCAACGGCCGUUCCGGUGCCUCACAGCGGCCGUUCCCUCAGCGGGCGCUUCUGCGCAGCGGCCGUUGCCCCCAGCCGCCGGUUCCCCCAGAAUGGUCGUUUCCUCGUAAUGGCCGUUCCGUUUCCUCACAAUGCCCGGUCCCCAGCGGCUCCUCCCGCCGCGGAUUCGCCCCUUCCAGGCGGGCAGGUCGCUGGGAGCAGCUCGUGGAGAGGUUCUGCUUGGAAACUGGAGGCAGCGCAGAGGGACCUGGGCCCUGGCUCAGGAAGAACGAGCACUAGAGGGCAUCAAACACACGAGAGUGCGACCAGGAACCCGCCUUGUCUUGCCGGGGGAGGGACUCGCAGUUCUAGGACUGGGAUUCUUUUCUGAAAGGAUGUGGUGCAGACUCCCCACUAAAACCUGCAAGACUCAAGAUGGUACAAACAGACGAGGAAUGCAGCGUUCCCCAUGCUGCCUCCGACAAACUGCAUCUUUUCUUGCUUUUUGGGAAACCUGGCAGGAGAACUGCAGGGGGAGUGGCCCUCCCGUUGCCUUCUGGUCCCACUUUCCUCCAUCUCCAGGAAUAUAAAUAAUCUUGUGAGUGAUAUCAAACAUUUCCAAAAAACAUACGUUGAAAGCAUGAAGCACUCGAGAUCCUCUGCCCAAACAAACUCCUCCCCUCCCUGCUCUCCACAUUUUGGUGAGCGCUCAGGCAGCCUCAGCGUUUGGCUAAUGAGCGGUGCCAGAUGGCUGUAAAUAUGUUCAGAAUCCUCCUUACCCGCUUCCCCUCUCCCCGGCACCCUCGGCGCUCCGCCCCGCCGCACGCACCUGCUCCGUUCCAAUCCCAGACUCUCCCUUCUACCCUCUUGAUCAAAAUUGGCACCUGGCGUUUUUAUUUUCCCUUCAAACGAAACAAGAAGUUCGCUGGGACUGUUUGGUGCCAGGUGACACUCGCUCACAAUCACUUCCACCGGUGCCUGGUGACUAAUGUGCCCCUUCCUGUCCCGUGGCUGUUCCUAUGUCUGAACCUCACUUCGUUUCUGCAGAAUUCCUGUCCUGGAGCACUGCAGGUCCAGAUCCCCUGCGGGGAACCACAAGGGCAUAGCAGCUUCUUCCUCUUCUGACACCAGAGAUUUCACGCUUGCCCUUUGCAUGGAGGUAAAUGGCAAAGGGAAUGAGGUGAUUCAUCCCAAAUCACGCACCGAGGAACUGGCACAGUCACUCUGCUUAAACGGUCCCUUUUGUCCUCGUGGUCACUGAAUUUAUGAAGGUCCAGCUGAAGUGACAAGAAUUGCUGUAUGAUGAGAGUUUCAUGUGACCAUGUAUCUUCUUCUUUUUCCUCUGAAUUCAUGAAUGUUCUUACAGCACGUUGUCACUGAAGGCGGGCACUUCUUUGUAAUGGAAACAUUUCUAAACUGCUAAGCAGCAAGAAAAGGAUGCAAAGCUGUAUAGAGGCACCGUGAAAGGGGAAGCUGUUUUUGAGGCGUCUUAAAAUACAGACAGUGACAUUUCAAAAACAAAAGCUGAACAAGGUCACAAGCUGUCUGAGAGCCUGAGGAAAGCUGCAGCAGCACAGGUUCUGGGGCGCGAGCAGCGUGACUGCGCUGUUGGGCUGAGACAUCCAUGGGUUAGCAUGGGUUAGCUUUCCCAGUGCUUGCACUUGCGCUGUCCCCCGCGGUUUGUGCAGCGUGGUCGCCCGCUCUGUGCUGUGCGGCAGAUGCUCCGGUUUGCUGCAGCGUGGGAGACUCUGGCCCUCGCUCUCACUCUGCUUCCACCUCUGGUGUGUUUUAGAGUUCGAUCCUUUCGGUAGGAGCUUGUGCGCACAGGUGGGAACAGGAGUCACAGAAUCAUCCAAUUGUUUUGGUUGGAAAAGACUUUCAAGAUGAUCAAGUCCAAGCGCUAUUGAAAGGCUGCCUGGUUCGUGCAGUCCCUGCAGGGAUCGAUACGCAGAGUUGGCGCCUGGUGACAGGUCUCUGCUCAUGACUCCGUUUCUAGACUGUUACAUAAGGCACGGGGAGGCUGCUGCUCCGAACCUUCCUCUUCCUGCCAGCACACGGUCCGAUUUCUCGGAGAUUUUGCCUCGUGCUGAGUUAACUCUUCACUGAAAGGGGGAAACAGAUGGCAGGAGGCAAAUUUGCUUAGAUGACUUGAACAAGGAGACAGAUAAACUGAUUUUCCAAGUGAUAUAUUUGACGUGGAGGCCAAGUGUUAUUUUUUUUGAGUCUUGUUGAUAGAGCUUUAUCAAUUUGCUUUCCUACCAAUAGACACAGACCUUGAAAAAGUGACCUGGGGAGGCUCAGAAGGCAGCGCCGCUCCGGCCGCGCUUCCCCGAGCACCCGUUGCUGUCCAGUGCCAUCAGCACGACUCCCAGACCGGACCGCAGAGAAAAACACGGUAGAGAGCGCUGAGAUUAAAUAUAGCAGCGAGUGGGCUGGCAGGAGGAACACUCGGCUCCCGGGAAGUGGGAGGCCGUGCUGAAGAAAUCAAGUGACUUGCUUAUGUUGCAGCAUAAACAGGAACAGAACCCGGCUUGCCUGGUGCUGGUUCUAACCUUCAGGCAACGCUGCUUCUCCAGCGCGACGGGAGCGCGUUUUUGAAGGAAAAGGGUGAAGAUACGACUCUUGAGGCUCUGCAUGGAUGGCAAGAGUCGUUCUACCACCUAAGAACCACAGGCAAUCCUCGCAAACAGGAAAAUGUGCAUUUUUCCUCCUUUGACAGCUCUGCAAUGCGUUUGCCAUGACUGAGUCCAUCUGCAGGGAGUUCCUCCUUCCAGUAAUGAUGUCCACAUCUCUGCGGGGCCGUUCGAUCAAUGCCGGCCCUUUGCCUACUGUUGAGUGUCAGACUGGAGGCCCCUGAUCCUUGGGGCUCUGAAUGCCCCGCUCUGUGCGCUGCCGUGCGUCUGUGGGCUCUUUAUUCUCCCCGCGGCGCUGUGAAACGGCUCGUUCUGCCGGGGCCCUGGAAGGAUCAAUCAUCGCUCGGACACGUAACCGCCGAGCCGCUCGUGUCGCGAGGGGCCCAUCUCAGCGCUGUGAACUCUGGCCUGUGCGACCUCUCCCAAACAGUCAGACAACUCAUCACGAUGCUUUCUGAAUUGUCUUCCCAAUGAGCGGGAGGAGCUGUUUUAAAAAAGAGCAAAAGAGUUCUUUAAAAAACUAAAAAUGAAUGCAGUGGAAGGCUCCCGAUAGUUUUCAGUCCCCUGGGGACGUUUUAUAAAGUCAAACCAAAUGGAUGUGUCUGAAAAUACAGCAGAUGAUUUGCCAUUCUUGUGCUGUUUCCAAAAAGUAUAACUCGCAGCUCCGCUUUUCAACCUUUUCCUAUAGCGCUCGUGUUAAAGAGCAGAAUUGUCCCAACGCCGCCCCUGACCUGCCCGAAGGGAAGGGAUCCUGGAGCGGAGCGACGGAACUCCCACCAGCAGCUCUUCUCAUUAACCAACGUGUAUAGAUGUAUAUAUGUGUGUGUAUGUAUUUGCUUUUUCAUCAGUUUGCUUUCCUUUGUAUCACUUUUCAUCCCCGCCGCGGUUUCCUGGCGGCCAGAGAACCACUUUGGCUUCUGCUCCAAACCGGAGUUGGGAAGGAGGUGCAGAAGCCCCGGGGAAGGGAAGAAGGAAGACGAGAGAAGCAAGAGAAGGAAGCUGAGGAAGAGACAGUGGGAGAACAGGGGAGUCUGUCCGUGCGGCCUGGAUCUCAACACCCGCCAGUCAAACCGGGCGCUUGUAACGCGCGGACGUUCCGUGCACACAACCAGAACCCGUUGUGUGCCCUGUGGGUGACACAGCACCGGGUGACGCCCGGAAAAGAGGGAAACCGUGAGUCAGAACCCACAGCGGAAGAUUUCACGUGGAAAGACACCAGUUCACGGGGAUGAGUCUGUAAAGAGACUGGGUGAAGGUGCCAAAGAGCCGUAAUUCUUCCUUCGAGAGUCCAUCUGGCACAGACUGCGCAAAGGCAGCAAUUAGGACAGGAAGGCAGGAGGUAACGAAGGGAAAUGAGGAGAGGGGCUGAUUGAGAGCAAUUAAUAGGAAUUAGUUUUAUGAAGUGCAAGAAACACGGAACGAAGAAAGGCAACUUGAGGCAGAAAUUCCUGUCAGUUUGAAGGGCACAAUAACUGUAUUUAGGGAAAAGGAAUCCUAGCAAUGGUCUUUUUUAAUAGGUGGAGAGAUGCCGGUGUUCAGAAUUAUGCAGGAAAAGCCAGGAAUUGUUAAUAAAUGUUUCUCCCUGAGGUUUGAAAGAGUCGAGGAUGGUGUGGCAGUCACGCGUGCAUCCAGGGUACGCUGCCACACGUGUAAUGAAACUGAGUUGUUUCCUUUUUCUUUAGGGAAGUGGAUCUGUUCAUGCUGAGCUUUAAUUUGAAAAGCUGGUUGGAACUUGUGAAGUCCGUAAUUAUUCUGGCGAAUGUAGGUCAAACUGGUUUCUAUUUUCUCCCUGUGUCUCCUGGGGCUCGGGCGAGGAUUCGGCACUCAGGUUCUCCACGGUUCACCAGGCUCUUGGUGAGUGAGGUACGGCCAUCCCUACCACAGCAGAAGCAGCGGAGAGCUCCCAGUGAAACACACUCCUAUGUGCUUAAGCCUAAAGAUUCAGCUACAGCUGCUGGUACAAGUGGCCAGAAGAUAAUUCCCCAGCUCCGAGAACACAAUGCAAGGCGUUCAAACCCACCGGUGUGAUUCAGAGUGGAUGCCGAGUGUAUUAAUGGCCCGGAUUUCAGCUGGGAUAUCAGUAGCCUGUAGCUUUCCACCUCCCGCAGUCCUCCAGAAAUAGAUCUCGCCUCAGCAUUUUAAGGCAUUUGCCUUAUUAGAGAAAAACACCCCAACGGCUUCUCUCAUCAGUAACUCCAAGAAGCAUUUCUGCGCAGGAGGAGCCAUGGGCUGAGCAGAAAACUGCUGUCUGUCCACCCGCCCCAGCAGCCGCUGCCGUUAGUCACCGUGGGUUCUGCUCCGUCCUGGCCUUUGCUUGCUUUUCUUGCCCCUUUAAUGCAGUGAAAGGCUCGAAACUGCUGGAGCAAUAUGGUUUUAGCCACCAUUUUAUCCACCCAAAUUCUGUUAGUGUGAACUGGACGCGGAGCACUGGUGUCUAAACGCCACAGGCCUGCUGCUGCUUUAUCCCAAAGUCUUUCACCUCGCUCCAAGUGGGUGUAAAUUCUAUUUAUAGCCACCAAAAGCCUCUUCAUAGUCGUCUUCUGCUGUAGAGAGGCCUUGCGGUGAUUCAGAAAUUUGCAGCUGCUCUCUUUAUCUGCGUUUGCAUUGAGUUAUUGACUCUGAGGGGCAUUUGCAACCUGAUCCGAUCCCUGUGAAGUGUAAGGAGAAGCAUUUCUUGUCAACCCCCUUCUCCCCACCGUGCCUGUGUGCUCAAGGCAGAGUUGUGCACGAACAGGAUUCCCUGGCCAUUAGCAGCCUUCAAAACGGUUCUUUGGCCAGGGCGCUCUUUAUUCUUAUAACAACACAACAUUUUCUGUCCGUGGAGCUGACACAGUGGCCACGCUGGACAUGGCAGCUCCUCGUCGGGCUCUUUGUGCGGCGUUAUCCCCGCAUGGCUGGGCCCCCAGAGCCGGCGUGCGCCGCACAAAGCGCCUCUGUGCUCCUUGCGCUCCGUCUGGGCUCAGCACGGCGUGCCGGCGGCUCUGGACUCGCCAGCGGGGACCUCCGGGGGGAAACGGGAGCCAAGGCUGGGCCUGGAGCGCUGGGCUGAGCUUGGACAUGAAGACCAGAGUCAGUGCCCACAAACAGGCACUUUGGGAAGCUGCACUGCUCCUAGAGCAAGAAGGAAAGCAGAGGUGAGGCUCCUGAAGAGCUCAACACACCCGCAGGCAAAAGGAAUUCCAUCCCGGCUCUUUAAAGCUCUUCUCAGCACGUUUGGGAUUCCUGUUGCUCCCCAGUCCAGCAUAGACAGUUGUCAGUUGUUUCUCAACUUACCGCCUCUGCUUUUCCAAGUUCUGCGUGAGACUGAACACAGAACUUUGGAAAACUCUUCAGAUCUUUCCAGACUCACAGAAUAAAAUCUGUGCAGCCUGUUCUUUAGACUUCUGAAAUGUCUCAGAACAACGUUUGAAUGCCGAGGGCUCACCCAGAGGAGUCGAGACACGGAGCUUCUUAAGAUGUUAGAUUUUAAUGUUAAAAAUGUAAAAAUAGUCCCUUUUUUUGGUGACAAAUCGCUGGGCAGCUUUCCGCCCCAUUGCAGACACGUGUCCUGCGGUCGGUUUGAACGCGCGGUUCCGUGUGUUUGUGUCGUGGCGCAUGGUUCCUGCCCCCACCCGCUGCCCAGCUCGCUGCCACCGUGUCUGUCUGUCUGUCUGUCAAAUAUCUGUGGACUUCUCUAGGGAAAAUGAUUCCCUGUGGAAACCUUGUUCUCCAUCAGCCUGCGCAUCGGCUCAGAGCCUGUCUGGGGUACGAGACCACAGGAACGAGCGUACCCAGCUGGUUGUGUCCCUGCCCCAGCUCCUCCCGCCGCCCGUGCUUUAUCCUCAGUUUGACCAGGGGUUUGGAAGCGGGCUGCGGGACUCGUGUGCGGCUGUUGAGAUAGGAACCCAGAAACAGCACAUUCCGUAGGAUUUACAAGCGAGCCCAGAGAUCAUGGAAGCCAUGGGAGACCUUAAAAUCAAUCAAAAUAAAGAAAGCUGCAGCAGACGGGACCCGUGCCCCGCGCUCUGUACAUGUGGAAGGUUCAAUUUACAGAAAAAUCAGUGCAGAUUUCUUUCCAAAAGCAACAACCCAUUCCGUUAUCCCCCCCCAGCCCCCUCGGUAAGAAGAGGAAAGGAGAACCUGAAAUACAAGUCAAAGAGCAAAAGAAGGGGUGGAUCAAGCAUCGAUCAAAUCAAUAUCGUGUUUAUAAACACUCCUUUGAGCAGCUGCAGCAGAAAAUAGCACCUUCAGAGCCCCUGGUGUGACGUGUGGGAACCGAGGAGGUUCAGGGAGUGUGAGACAUGAACGAUGCUUCGUAUGGACAAGAAUCAGCUCCUCCAACUUCAUUCGCAAAUGAUUUGAUUCCUUUGACUAUGGGCUAGAGAAAAGUGAAAGAGGAGAGUGUUCUUUUCUCCCAUAAGGGUUAGUUUGGGGGAUUUAAAGGGAUUUUGGACCAUCCUCUGAUAUCGGGGGUUUUGUUCUUGUGGCUCAGAUACAAAUAGCUCUGGAAACCAUUAGUUAUUUGGGGGGUCUGAGGCUUUUUCACAGUUUUGCCCAUUGAAAUCUGGUGCCGGUUUGGUGGGCAGAGAAGGGCGGAGGUGCCGGACGGGGGUGGUUUCUGCUCUACAUGUGAUGGGAGGUGAAUUCCCAGAAAUCGGGAACGUUGAACUCUUCUAGGAUUUGCCGUUUCGAUGAAUGUUCUCGUUGUAAGUGUGACACGAGGUGAGCGCUGAGUCUGAGCAAAGGGCUUUGGGGCGCGUCCCUGAAGGAGAAGCCGGGAGUGAUUUUCUGCAGCAAACGCAGGCUGGAACUCUCCUUUGCGAAAAGGAGCUUGAAUCCCCCCCACAGCUCAACAGCCGAGUCCCUGACUCGUGUUGUGGGCCAGCAAGCCCAGCAGCCCCCCUGCCCUUGCAGCUCACACUGCAGCUCUCGCAGCAUCACUGCGGGUUCCCGACUCAGCUCUUCGGUCUGCAGGGAAUCGAGGCUCCUGCUCUUCGCGUCCGUUUGUAAACUGAUGUGCGGCUGCGUGUUCCCCGUGGCGGGGCCGGUUCCUCUGCCCCCAUGGGCUGAAGCGUUUCGGUGUCCAAGGGACUUUGCCUUUUGGGCCACUUGCAUAAUAAAACUCACACAGGCUCCUGAAGCCCCAAACUCUCACACAGAAUCUGCUGGAGUCCUUUCCAAAGGUUCUGGUGGCAAUGGAAGGAUGGUUCCCUUCCAUCAGUGACUCGGGGUGCUGCGGUACAGAGGGGAGAACUUUGCGCAAUUUAGAUUUUUAAAGAAUGAUAAUAAAAGAGGGCAGAACUCCAGCCCACGCAGGAGAAGGCAGCGAGAUCUCCCAGCCCUGCGUGUCUGCGCAGGAUCCAGAGGCUCCUGAUGGGUUUCUAGGUACUUCUGUGCGGGGACCGGACCUGGGGACUCUGCUACUGCUGCUGUGGGGAGAAUUCCACAGUUCCAGCUGCGUUUGGGUUGGAGUGAAAACCGCGUCAGAACUGCCCCUGGGGAGACGAAGCGUCAGGCUUCUCCACGGGGACGGCUGGUAAAACAGUGUUUCAUUGUGACUUGGAGAGGUUUCUACGAAAAAAUUCACAUUUUUUAUAAUACAAAAAUAUUCCCAAGCGAAAAAUACACGUUUUUUGUUCUGAAAACUCAUGGUUUUUUUCUUCCUAAGUGAUUCCUUUUCCCUUGUCUGUGUUCUCUCAGUCACGGAGCUGAACGGGAAGGGUUUUAUCAGAGCGCCUCACAUGAGCUCUUUUUUAUUCUCUUUCAGGGAUUAUGCUUUUUCCUCUGAUGCGUCCAAACAGAUCCUUCAGCUGCUGGGAAAGCGCUGGCAGCUCCAGGUCAGCACCGCCAGCCUGGGGUGGAGCUGAGCAGACACAGGAGCCGCUCUCCUUUCCACGGAGAAAACAGACACCGCCCACCGCCAGGAUAACUGUUGCGUUUGGUAUUUUCACAGAUUGUUCGCAAUGCAGGUAAGGGAACUGGAUUUUUUUGUUUGUGAGGUACCAGCGGGACGUCAC
This is an RNA transcript of Columba livia (rock pigeon), 8703 nucleotides long. RefSeq lists it as uncharacterized. The transcript is spliced from 5 exons. NCBI's taxonomy places the organism in Eukaryota, Metazoa, Chordata, Aves, Columbiformes, Columbidae. The record is from RefSeq and is a predicted model, not a curated record.